Molecule: ribosomal RNA, 260 nt
Filed under: uncultured bacterium
Lineage: Bacteria
Description: partial 16S ribosomal RNA
Rfam family: Bacterial small subunit ribosomal RNA
Source: RNAcentral
CCACGCCGUAAACGAUGAUAACUAGCUGUCAGGGCUCUUGGAGCUUUGGUGGCGCAGCUAACGCGUUAAGUUAUCCGCCUGGGGAGUACGGCCGCAAGGUUAAAACUCAAAGAAAUUGACGGGGGCCUGCACAAGCGGUGGAGCAUGUGGUUUAAUUCGAAGCAACGCGCAGAACCUUACCAGCGUUUGACAUGGUAGGACGGUUACUGGAGACAGUUUCCUUCCCUUACGGGACCUACACACAGGUGCUGCAUGGCUGU